This 256-nucleotide ribosomal RNA is filed under the name uncultured bacterium. RNAcentral's name for it is "partial 16S ribosomal RNA". It matches the Rfam family "Bacterial small subunit ribosomal RNA", at positions 524 to 777 of the family's 1533-position model. The record is from RNAcentral.
UACGGAGGGUGCGAGCGUUGUCCGGAAUCACUGGGCGUAAAGGGCGCGUAGGCGGCGCGGAUAGUCGGCGGUGAAAGCCCGGAGCUCAACUCCGGGUCGGCCGUCGAUACUUCCGGGCUUGAGCACUGUAGAGGCAGAUGGAAUUCCGGGUGUAGCGGUGGAAUGCGUAGAGAUCCGGAAGAACACCGGUGGCGAAGGCGGUCUGCUGGGCAGUUGCUGACGCUGAUGCGGCGACAGCGGUGGGGAGCAAACGAGG